UACGGAAGGGGCAAGCGUUGUUCGGAAUCAUUGGGCGUAAAGGGCGUGUAGGUGGUCCUGUAUGUCUACCGUGAAAGCGCACGGCUCAACCGUAUUUAGUCGGUAGAAACUGCAGGACUUGAGGCUGGGAGGGGCUGGUGGAAUUCCCUGUGUAGCGGUGAAAUGCGUAGAGAUGGGGGAGAACACUCGUGGCGAAGGCGGCCAGCUAGACCAGUUCUGACACUGAGGCGCGACAGCGUGGGGAGCAAACAGG
Molecule: ribosomal RNA, 253 nt
Filed under: uncultured bacterium
Lineage: Bacteria
Description: partial 16S ribosomal RNA
Rfam family: Bacterial small subunit ribosomal RNA
Source: RNAcentral